CCCGGUCACGUGAGCGUUCCGCGGAGGAUGCGUCAUCUCACGUGACCGCCCCGCAAAAUGGCCGCCGCGGGCCGCUGCCCCGCAGGGCCAUCCGGUCACACAACCGUACCUGCCUCGCUUGCUUGGGAAGGCUCGGUCCCUAUCAUAAGUUUCAGGUGGGCCUUGAGACCUCCCAGGGCAGAAGAAACAUCCAGUGCACAUCAGGGAGGAACAGCAGAAGCCAAAAAUAGCAUUCAUUGAGGCAGGACGUUUCCAGUGACUAAAGCCAGAAGCAGACACCAUCUUGUAAGGACACUCAAGUAGUCGUCCUCUGAAGAAACCCAUGUGUCACAGAAUCAAGCAAGUCCUUCAGCCUUAUGAAUGCGCCACUUUGGAAGCACAUGCUCCAGCCCCAGUCAAGCCUUCAGGUGACAGAUGUCCCCACCAACAUCCUGAUGGCACCCUCAUGAGAGAUCCUAAGCCAGAACCACCCAGCUAAGCCACUCAUGGAUUUCUUCCAAUCCUCGGAAAUUGUGUGAGAUAAUAAAUGUUUAUUGUUGCUUUAAGCUGCUAAGUUUGGGGACAAUUUGUUACACAGCAACAGAUAACUAAUACACCUAGGAUAAUUAUGGCAUAUGUACACAUGAGGAAAUCAGAGCCCAGAAAGGGAGAUAGAUUUGCCAAAGUUGUACACUUCUCAUGGGUGCUCGAGGUCUCCAGCUUGACAGCUGUGGCAUUUGAACGUGGCUUUCUUACUCAGCCCCACUCACAGGCCUCAGCCUCCUGUCCCUCAGCCCAUCCUCUACAUGGACUUAGAAAGAUCUUGCUAGACUCAGAGCUGACCCUAGCCCUGCCUUGCUCAGUGCCCUCCUAUGGCUCACUGGUAAUAAUAAAUCUCUUACCCAGUAUCAUAAGUAGAGUGUGCUCUUUAUUGUAUAUUCAAAGAGAAAAGAGAUAAAAUGGUAUUUUGACUCUUCUAACAAAUAAAAAUACAGUGUACAGAUAUUUUAGAGUUAUAGAUCCCUUGCAAGAUGUAAGUUAUAGGUGGUGGCAUCUGGAUUUGGCUUAGCCAGGUCAUCUGCUCCACAUGCUCUAACAAGGCUAUAAAAAAGGUGUGUUGGCUGGGUUCUGGUCUCAUUUGAAGGCUCAACUGGGGAAGGAUGCAUUUCUAAGCACACUUAUGUAGUUGUUGGGAAGAUUCAGUUCCUUGAGAGAUGUUGGAAUGAUGGCCUCAGCUCCUUGCUGGCUGUUGGCCACAGACUAUCCUCAGUUCUUUGCUAUGGGACCUCUUCACAGGGCAGCUCACAACCUGGCAGCUGGCUUCAUCAAAGUGAGCAAGCAGGACUGAAGUCACAGUCUAUUAUAACCUAGUCUUGGAAGGGACAUAUCAUCACUUUUGCCAUUAGCAGCAGGUCACUAGAUCCAGCACACUCAACAGGAGAAUACAAAAGGAUGUGAAUACCAGGAGAUGAAAGUCACUGAGAGCCAUUUUAGAAACUGAUUACCACGCCAGGUAAGGAAGAACCCUUUGCACACUGAGGAAGGGCAACAAAAGAGAUAAAUAACUGAUGUUGUGGACACUAAGUUAUUCAGGGGCAGAGGGCCCUGGUGGCUGACCUAGGAAAGUUUCUGGGGUAGCGGACAAUGGGUAGGAUUUAGGGGUUCCAGUUCUGCUUAGACUUCUUAAAAAUGAAUCCAUCUUUCACAUUGUAAAACUUCUGAGACCUGUUUAUCUGGUUAGCUAUUGCCGUGUAGGAAAUCAGCCUAGAACUGAAACAACAGUCGUUUUAUUGGCUUAAAACAAAAGUCAUUUUAUUAUAUUCCAUAGGCCUGUGGGUAAUGACAUUGGAAAAAAUUUAGUUGGGGUCCAAUUGGGACCUGAUCAAACAUCUCUCUAUUUUCUUGGAGCCUCACGACUUUCCAUAUGGUUUCCUUGUGUGGGCUAGUUUGGGCUUCCUCACAGUUUGGUGGCUUCAGGGCAGCUGAACUCCUUGCAUGAUGGCUGAAGAUUUCAGGAGUAUUUUAGCUAACAAGUAAUUGCACUGCCUUUCCUGACCUAACCUCAGAAGUUAUGCAGCAUCACUUCUAGUGUGUUACAAUGGCUACAAGUGAGUCAUGAGCCCACUCAGUUUCAAAGAAAGGGGAAUUAGACUCUUCAUCUUAAUGGGGGAAAUGAGAGGAGACAGGAGAUCUCUUUGGAAAAUAUAAGGUGGCACACCAGUUCAGCUGCUUUAGCAAAGGCUAAUAGAACAGUGGCUUGCUUAAGCAACAAAGAAGUUUAUUUCCCUUUCAUGUAGCAGUCCAAGAGUAUGCAAUCCCAAGAGAUAUUAACAGUGAGUAAAGUUCCACAGUGUUUGUUAAUUUUAUGUGUGCAGAUAUUUGGCCUAACAUUAUUCUGGGUAUUUCUGGGAGGGUGUUUUCAGUCCAGAUUAACAUUUUUGUUUUAUUUUU
Molecule: long non-coding RNA, 2430 nt
Organism: Rhinolophus ferrumequinum (greater horseshoe bat)
Lineage: Eukaryota; Metazoa; Chordata; Mammalia; Chiroptera; Rhinolophidae
Exons: 3
Source: RefSeq, a predicted model, not a curated record